This 495-nucleotide ribosomal RNA is filed under the name uncultured bacterium. RNAcentral describes it as "partial 16S ribosomal RNA". It matches the Rfam family "Bacterial small subunit ribosomal RNA", at positions 28 to 507 of the family's 1533-position model. The record is from RNAcentral.
GACGAACGCUGGCGGCGUGCCUAAUACAUGCAAGUAGAACGCUGAAGGAGGAGCUUGCUUCUCUGGAUGAGUUGCGAACGGGUGAGUAACGCGUAGGUAACCUGCCUGGUAGCGGGGGAUAACUAUUGGAAACGAUAGCUAAUACCGCAUAAGAGUAGAUGUUGCAUGACAUUUGCUUAAAAGGUGCAAUUGCCUCACUACCAGAUGGACCUGCGUUGUAUUAGCUAGUUGGUGGGGUAACGGCUCACCAAGGCGACGAUACAUAGCCGACCUGAGAGGGUGAUCGGCCACACUGGGACUGAGACACGGCCCAGACUCCUACGGGAGGCAGCAGUAGGGAAUCUUCGGCAAUGGACGGAAGUCUGACCGAGCAACGCCGCGUGAGGGAAGAAGGUUUUCGGAUCGUAAAGCUCUGUUGUAAGAGAAGAACGAGUGUGAGAGUGGAAAGUUCACACUGUGACGGUAUCUUACCAGAAAGGGACGGCUAACUACGUG